GCUCAUUGCUCAGCCUCUGGGUAUUAAUCUGCUGAGCUGGUGGCCACCUAAAUACAAUCGUCCUGUUCCCCUCAUUGGUCUCUCCGGUCUCCUGAUUCCAGCCACAUUUUGGUGAGCCAGCCAGGAGUGAAGACGACAGGUUUGCUGUCUCCUUUGCCUGUGGGUCUGGGGCCCCAGCCUGGGGGAGACCCGUGACUCCAGGCAUGCUAUCAGGACAACUUCAACCCGAGGGGAGAUCAGCUCUCCCGCAACCUGGUGCCGCUCUCUGACAGCACAACAGAACCUAAGGGGCUACAGGAUGAUUCAAGGAACAGUGUGCUACAGGACCUCGAUGGGGUCUCGCUCUGUCCUGGAGUGCAAUGGCACGAUCUUGGCUCACUGCAACCUCCGCCUCCCAGGUUCAAGCAAUUCUCCUGCCUCAGCCUCCCGAGUAGCUGGGACUACAGGCACACGCCAACACGCCAGGCUAAUUUUUUGUAUUUUUAAUAGAGAUGGAGUUUCACCAUGUUCCCCAGGCUGGUCUUGAACUCCUGAGCUCAGGCAAUCCACCUUCCUCUGCCUCCCAAAGUGCUAGGAUUACAGGCGUGAGCCACCGCGCCCGGUCUAUUUAUUUUCUUAACAGGGUAUUUUGCUAAGAAGUUUUACAUUUUGGUGAAGUCUAGUUUUUCCAUUUUUUUAUUAUGCUUAUUAUUUCUUAUGACUUCAGAUUUCCUUCCCUUCACUUAAUUAAUGGAGGUAUUGUAGUAUGAUUUCUUUUACCUUGUAUUUUGAAAUUUUACCUUUUACUCUGUGGUCCAUCUUGAAUUAUCUUUUAUGUAUGAUGUGAGGAUGUGAGAUUACUUUUCUUCAUAUGAAAAUGCAAUUUUUCCACCUUCCAUUCUUGAAGAAAUUAACUUUCCCCAUUUGACUGUUUUGGUGUAUUGGACAGUAAGUUUAAAAAUAUGUUUUAAAAAGUAUUUGCCAUGUUUAAAAAAUGUUUAGAAAGAAAGGCCACAUUCUUGUCUUUUUCCUUAUCUUAGAGGAAAAGGCUUCAACUUUUCACAUUGAGUAUGAUGUUAGCUGUUGGAUUGUCAUACAUGGAUUUUCUUGUUGGUGAACUUUUCUUCUAUACCUAAUUUGUAAUUGAUAAUAAUAAUAUAUUGUUUAUAUCAAAACAGCUAAAAAAGGGAUUUUAAAUGCUCUCACCACAAAGAAAUGAUAGUAUUUGGGUGGGAUAAAUAUGUUAAUUGACCAUAUUUGAUUAUUCCACAAUGUACAUGUAACAAAACACCACAUUGUACCCCAUAAAUAUAUAAAAUUAUUAUUUGCAAUUAGAAAUAAAAUAUAACUUAAAAAAGAAAA
RNAcentral lists this long non-coding RNA (1341 nucleotides) under Homo sapiens (human). RNAcentral's name for it is "long intergenic non-protein coding RNA 278". The record is from RNAcentral. Lineage: Eukaryota; Metazoa; Chordata; Mammalia; Primates; Hominidae.